GGGCUUGUACUGGUUUCGACGGGGAUCAUGCAGUCGGUGAAGCUAUCCGCAGGAUGAUGCGUUAAAUCUCAAAACCUAAAUAUAAACGCUAACGAUAAUCGUUACGCUCUUGCAGCCUAAGCGCUGCUUGUGUCCGGCCUGAUUUACCUGUCCGUCGGGAUCCCGGGCAUCGAUCUGACAGGAAACGACAUAUACAAAGCUUUGAGUAUAUGGGCGUAUGAUGAAGCUUAGUUUUUCUCUCGGAAUGUCGGCUUUCCUUUAGAAAAAUGAAUUAAAAUCAACCGAAUAUGAUAGUAGAAGAACGAGGAAUUGGUUUUCGGACAGGGGUUCGAUUCCCCUCAGGUCCACUU
RNAcentral lists this transfer-messenger RNA (350 nucleotides) under Clostridiales bacterium. It matches the Rfam family "transfer-messenger RNA". From Rfam's summary of the family: Bacterial tmRNA, also known as 10Sa RNA or SsrA, is named for its dual tRNA and mRNA-like properties. Its role is to liberate the mRNA from a stalled ribosome. RNAcentral also lists the same sequence under 1 other name. The record is from RNAcentral. Lineage: Bacteria; Bacillati; Bacillota; Clostridia; Eubacteriales.